RNAcentral lists this transfer RNA (71 nucleotides) under Loxodonta africana (African savanna elephant). It matches the Rfam family "tRNA". Rfam says of the family: Transfer RNA (tRNA) molecules are approximately 80 nucleotides in length. Their secondary structure includes four short double-helical elements and three loops (D, anti-codon, and T loops). Lineage: Eukaryota; Metazoa; Chordata; Mammalia; Proboscidea; Elephantidae. The record is from Rfam by way of RNAcentral.
GCAGAGGUGGUUCAGUGGCAGAAUUCCCACUUUUUAUGUGGGAGACCCAGGUUUGAUUCUGAACCAAUGCA